GAAAGUAUAAUCUAGAAGAGAAUGUGCUCCUUAAGGAAAACAGAGUUUCCUCAGCCCAAUGGGAUCCUUGUGUAGUAAGUUAUAGGACAUGGUCAGGGGGAGCUUUUCCUCACGGCUUUCUCCUCAAUAUUUCAUUAUUAGAAAAUUUAAGUACACAGCAAAAUGGAGAAAGUUUUUAAUGAAUACCUAUAGUCCAAUCAUGUUGCUUUAUAAUGAACACUUUUUUUAUUUACAUCCUAGUUAUCUAUCAACUCACCUGCAUUUGUUACACUUCAAAGUAAAUUGUGAACAUUAGCUCAUCCUUGCCUAAAUACUUUCACAUGCAUAUAACUAUUAUAAGAGUAUGGUUUGUUCAUAUAUCUUAUUAGCCACACUGGGUUUUGUUUUAUUUUUUUAGUGUACAUCAUAUGUGACUUGAAAGUAUCAGUGAUUUUUCCUCAAUAUAAUGGAAUCAGCAAAAAUAUGAUGACUAUACACAUGUGUUUGAAUAUAAACUUAAUCAGUAAAGCUGAUCUUUAAUCUUUCAAAAUGAACUUGUUUUAUUAAGAUGUACUUUACAUGCAAUAAAUGUUGCUAUAUACAUUUAAUCUAUAGAUUUUCCUUUGAAUGCCACUUCAACUAUGUCAUGUAGGCUUUGGUAUAGUAUAUAUUCUAUUUCAAUGGUCACAAUUUUCUAUUUUCUAUUCUGAUUGAUUUUUUGCUUUGUUAUUUAUUUCCAAGUCCGUACCCAAUUCAGAAUUUUUGAAAUUUCUGCCUGUUAUUGGUUACUAACUUGAUUCCAUUGUAACUGGAGAAGUUUGUUCAGAUUUCAGGUCUUUCAGAUGUGCUGAGACCCGUAUUAUAACCCCAUAGACAGAUCAUAUGCAGAUCAUAUACAGAUCAUACUGGAGGGUGCUCCACUCAAAGGGCCACACUUUAGAGUCAAAGACACAGGUUGGAAGUACAACUAAUUUCAGCUUACAAAACUAGGCGCCCAUGCUGAAGUAAUUCAAGGAAGUGGGAUGUGCACGAGAAAGCCUUUGAGAAGAACUCAGAGGGGUGCAACAGGAAAAGACUAGACACAGAGUUACCACGCUGGGAGCCCCCCAGGUUACCAUUCGGCAGCUUACUCCUAACACUGUAACUCUUGGCAGACUUCAGAUGAUCACAGAGAUGACAGAUAUGUGUGGUACUGUGAAUGUAAUUUAGUGCCAUGAAUACCCUGGGCAAGAACUCUACCGAUGAGCUCCACACCAUAGCCUCAUCUCUCUUCAAAAAAAUCUGUUGUGUGAGAGAGGAUCAAUUAAAGUAGGCCCGACUAAGAGACACUUGAAACAAUUAAUGUGGACAACGGGUCAAAAAAACGUCCUGGAGCAUGGAUGGACUCUAUAUCUAAAUAAAUCAAGGUCACACGAGCAGGGCCCUCACAGAGAAACAGAAGUUGGUGGGCGCCAAGCUUUUUGUUUUUGUUUUUGUUGUUGUUUGAUUUGUGGCAGGCUCUCUCUAUGCAGC
Long non-coding RNA from Mus musculus (house mouse), 1491 nucleotides. RefSeq annotates it as predicted gene, 36048. The transcript is spliced from 5 exons. NCBI's taxonomy places the organism in Eukaryota, Metazoa, Chordata, Mammalia, Rodentia, Muridae. The record is from RefSeq and is a predicted model, not a curated record.